Molecule: non-coding RNA, 609 nt
Organism: Taeniopygia guttata (zebra finch)
Lineage: Eukaryota; Metazoa; Chordata; Aves; Passeriformes; Estrildidae
Source: RefSeq, a predicted model, not a curated record
GCUCCAUGGGUUCCACACACUGGUCUCUUGUGUGGUUGCACACUGGCUCCAGACAUCUGUCCUGCAUGGUUCCUGGCUAAAGCUAUCGGUUGGAGACAGACAGGUUUCAGGACCAGGCCUGGUGUGCUGCCUGUGUGUAUGACCAGGAUAUAGCUGCAUCUCGGUUCCUGCUUGGAGAUUCCCAACCACUCCCUCACUACUGGCUGGAUUUCCUGGGCCGUGUGUUGGAGCAGAUGCAAACUACUUACACAAGAGGGCACAGACCUGGCUGGAUCUGGAUUCAGUGGGAGCAGGCCCACAGGGAGCAAAGCACUAGAUGCUGCCAGUGGCUCUCAGUGAGGAGCACUUCAUGCAAGUCCCACCUGUGUCCCUGUUCAAUGUCAUGAUCUAGGAAUGCAGCUAUUGCUCAGGCAGUUGCCAGCUGGCCACAGCAACUACAGAAAAGAACAAAACACCUGGUCUGAUCCUCAUGGAGAGGAGUGGGGACCUCUGUGGGGACUUCCAGGAGAGCUGUACCCUGAGUCACAACCAGCCCUGUGGCAGACAUCAAAUGCUGUUGUUCCCUAGCAGUCUGCUGAUGUUAUCAGUGUUUCUUUGAGGAGUGAGAAA